RNAcentral lists this long non-coding RNA (216 nucleotides) under Gossypium barbadense (sea-island cotton). RNAcentral's name for it is "long non-coding RNA (GBAR_LNC010175)". Lineage: Eukaryota; Viridiplantae; Streptophyta; Magnoliopsida; Malvales; Malvaceae. The record is from RNAcentral.
AAAAGGGAACAAAAACCAAAAGUGAACAAGAAGGAAGAAGAAACAGCAGAGAAACAAAAGUCUAACGUUUGUUGGGAAAAAAGAAAAUAGAAAACUUAUAAGAAGAAAAUCUUAUUUUGAUAACUUCUCCCCAGUUAUCUCAUAAAAACACUCCCUAUUAACCCACUAAAACACAACUACUCAGCAGUCCAGUUUAAUUUAAACUCCACCACGCCA